This 122-nucleotide unclassified non-coding RNA is filed under the name soil metagenome. Its description in RNAcentral is "partial internal transcribed spacer 1". The record is from RNAcentral.
UUAAAAUGCGAAGCCUCACGGCCUAGCUUUAUAAUCCCUUAUUACACCUGUGCACCUUAUUGUCUUCGGACAAUUUACUACAAACAUCAGUGUAACGAAUUGUAAAGUAUUAUAAAUCAAUA